AGUGAACGCUGGCGGUAGGCCUAACACAUGCAAGUCGAACGGCAGCACAGUAAGAGCUUGCUCUUACGGGUGGCGAGUGGCGGACGGGUGAGGAAUACAUCGGAAUCUACUUUUUCGUGGGGGAUAACGUAGGGAAACUUACGCUAAUACCGCAUACGACCUACGGGUGAAAGCAGGGGAUCUUCGGACCUUGCGCGAUUGAAUGAGCCGAUGUCGGAUUAUCUAGUUGGCGGGGUAAAGGCCCACCAAGGCGACGAUCCGUAGGUGGUCUGAGAGGAUGAUAAGCCACACUGGAACUGAGACAAGGUCCAGACUCCUAAGGGAGGCAGCAGUGGGGAAUAUUGGACAAUGGGCGCAAGCAUGAUCCAGCCAUACCGAGUGGGUGAAGAAGGCCUUCGGGUUGUAAAGCCCUUUUGUUGGGAAAGAAAAGCAGAAGGUUAAUACCACGCUGUUCUGACGGUACCCAAAGAAUAAGCACCGGCUAACUUCGUG
RNAcentral lists this ribosomal RNA (492 nucleotides) under uncultured bacterium. RNAcentral's name for it is "partial 16S ribosomal RNA". It matches the Rfam family "Bacterial small subunit ribosomal RNA", at positions 29 to 507 of the family's 1533-position model. The record is from RNAcentral.